RNAcentral lists this ribosomal RNA (481 nucleotides) under uncultured Smithella sp. Its description in RNAcentral is "bacterial SSU rRNA". It matches the Rfam family "Bacterial small subunit ribosomal RNA", at positions 903 to 1382 of the family's 1533-position model. Lineage: Bacteria; Pseudomonadati; Thermodesulfobacteriota; Syntrophia; Syntrophales; Smithellaceae. The record is from RNAcentral.
AAAGGUAAUUGACGGGGCCCGCACAAGCGGUGGAGCAUGUGGUUUAAUUCGAUGCAACGCGAAGAACCUUACCUGGGCUUGACAUCCCGGGAAUCCCUUGGAAACAAGGGAGUGCCCUUCGGGGAACCUGGAGACAGGGUGCUGCAUGGCUGUCGUCAGCUCGUGUCGUGAGAUGUAGGGUUAAGUCCCGCAACGAGCGCAACCCUUGUCUUUAAUUGCCAUCAUUGAGUUGGGCACUUUAAAGAGACUGCCGGUGACAAACCGGAGGAAGGUGGGGAUGACGUCAAGUCCUCAUGGCCCUUAUAGGUGGGGCUACACACGUCAUACAAUGGAUGGUACAAAGGGUCGCCAACCCGCGAGGGGGAGCCAAUCCCAUAAAGCCAUUCGUAGUCCGGAUCGCAGUCUGCAACUCGACUGCGUGAAGUCGGAAUCGCUAGUAAUCGUGGAUCAGAAUGUCACGGUGAAUACGUUCCCGGGUCUU